This 384-nucleotide unclassified non-coding RNA is filed under the name Heteropyxis natalensis. RNAcentral's name for it is "partial external transcribed spacer". Lineage: Eukaryota; Viridiplantae; Streptophyta; Magnoliopsida; Myrtales; Myrtaceae. The record is from RNAcentral.
CCUCACGUUUCAUCAUUCGUUGCUCCAUGAUGUUGGAUGCUAAAAGUGGUUCCUGUGUUGCAUACCCGUUGAGAUGGGAAAUUCAUCCCUUUCGUUGUCCCUUUCGUCGUAAUGUCCUUUCGGGCGUUCGAUGGAGUAGAUGGUGGCUCUCGUGUUCCACGAACAUCUCGCUUGAUUUGUUACGAUGGACCGUGAUUGCCUACUCGUUCUCUUGGAUGCGGAGCAUUUGCAAUGGGUGUGGGGUCAUUGGCCCUUGUUCCCAAAGUGUUAAGCGUCAUUCGCUUUCAUAAGACGACGCUCUUGCCUUGUGUUGGCCGUGUGGAGCCCUCGGGCUGCAUGCAGGAUCAUGCAAGGUGGACGUCAUGGAGGAAUGCUACCUGGUUG